GUAAAGAAAAAUGAAAGUUGUACAAAACAUAAUUUAUGCCUUUCUUAUUAAGGGAAACAAAAUUUUCAUAUAAAAAGUUCACAUUUAAGUCGCAGUUAUUUUCAGAUUAGAAACAAAUAGUGCACAAAAUAUCCAUUUCAUCACCUUUUUUAGCAUGCAUGGCCACAGACAAUUUUAUACUUUGCCGGUUUCUCAUUUAGCAUUCUAUAGAAUGCCGGAUUUCAAACUUUUGCAUAUAAAAGUAAUUUUGUUAUUGUGUUGCAUAGAAUGAAAAUGAGGAAGGAUUAUAUAUAUUUUGAGGAUAUUAUGUCCGGCUUUUGAAUAUAAAAGUUAUCUUAUUAUUGUGGUGGCUAGAGUGAUAAUGUAGAAGGAUGUAUUUCUUUUCAAGGUAUGUAUUAUGUCUAGUUUUAAAAAUUAAAGGUAAUCUUAUUAUUGUGAAGAAAAAUGUUUUUUUAUUUUUAUGAAGAUAUCAAAAGAAAAUAAUAUCCUUUAACUGUAUGAAUUUAUAAACUCACCAUUAAAUGUUUUAUUAUUAUUUUCAAGUCUAAAACUGAAAUUAAGAAGUCGAAAUUUUUUGCGUAUUCAAUGAGAUUCAUGUCACUGCAGAAAUGAGUGGUAGGAUAUAGUUACAGACAUUAUAUAUAUGUAUUUUUUAUUUCAGUGGUGCUGAUCUUGCUUUUCUUGUACGUGAAGCUACACAAAAAGCUGUAAAACAAGUCAUUAGUGAAUUUGAAGAAAAAAAGCAAGUUAAUUUAUUAAAUACUAAAAUUACUGUCAAUUGGGACCAUUUUGAUGAAGUGCUAGAUGAAAAGAAAAUUAAACCAUCAAUUAAUAAAAAUGAAAGGAAGUAUUUUGAAAGGUCUCAAGAAA
This is a non-coding RNA of Parasteatoda tepidariorum (common house spider), 870 nucleotides long. The record is from RefSeq and is a predicted model, not a curated record. Lineage: Eukaryota; Metazoa; Arthropoda; Arachnida; Araneae; Theridiidae.